RNAcentral lists this non-coding RNA (28 nucleotides) under Homo sapiens (human). Lineage: Eukaryota; Metazoa; Chordata; Mammalia; Primates; Hominidae. The record is from RNAcentral.
UCUGAAUCUACAAAAUGCAAUGAUGUGU